GACGAACGCUGGCGGCGUGCCUAAUACAUGCAAGUCGAGCGGAACUUAGAAAGCUUGCUUUCUAAGUUUAGCGGCGGACGGGUGAGUAACACGUGGGCAACCUGCCUAUAAGACUGGGAUAACUUCGGGAAACUGGAGCUAAUACCGGAUAAUAUAAAAGAUCACAUGGUCUUUUAUUGAAAGAUGGCUUCGGCUAUCACUUAUAGAUGGGCCCGCGGCGCAUUAGCUAGUUGGUGAGGUAAUGGCUCACCAAGGCGACGAUGCGUAGCCGACCUGAGAGGGUGAUCGGCCACACUGGGACUGAGACACGGCCCAGACUCCUACGGGAGGCAGCAGUAGGGAAUCUUCCGCAAUGGACGAAAGUCUGACGGAGCAACGCCGCGUGAGCGAUGAAGGCCUUCGGGUCGUAAAGCUCUGUUGUUAGGGAAGAACAAGUAUCGUUCGAAUAGGGCGGUACCUUGACGGUACCUAACCAGAAAGCCACGGCUAACUACGUG
This 497-nucleotide ribosomal RNA is filed under the name uncultured bacterium. RNAcentral describes it as "bacterial SSU rRNA". It matches the Rfam family "Bacterial small subunit ribosomal RNA", at positions 28 to 507 of the family's 1533-position model. The record is from RNAcentral.